UUGUAGAUGCAACUGCGCAGAUUGAUGAGUUAUUCAUUCAACCAAACGGUAAGUGACAGUUUUUUUUUAAUGAUGAAAUGUGUUUUAUCAUUUAUUUAUAUAUUUUUUAUUUUUUUUAAGCCGCCCCAAAACCUGCAAUAGUUGCGGGUAAGAAUAUUUUAUUAUAUAUUUUCCCCUCUGUUAUGUUCUACAUGUCCUAUUAAUUAUAAAAUUUCUCUCUAUUUGUAGAUGCAACUGCGCAGAUUGAUGAGUUAUUCAUUCAACCAAACGGUAAGUGACAGUUUUUUUUAAAAUGAUGAAAUGUAUUUUAUCAUUUAUUUAUAUAUUUUUUAUUUUUUUAAGCUGCCCCAAAACCUGCAAUAGUUGUGGAUGCAACUGCGCAGAUUGAUGGGUUAUUCAUUCAACCAAACGCCGCCCCAGCGCAUGUGUUAGUUGCGGAUGCAACUGCGCAGAUUGAUGAGUUAUUCGUUCAACCAAACGUUAUAAUUCCACGUCUCAUCAGGAGCGGGCCGCAUGAGCUUCCUCGGGAACCUGGCACCCCGUUUGGAUUCAUUAUUGACGAAGCGAGAGGUCGAUAUUAUUCAUAUUAUUUUGUCUGAUUUGCUAUCCUGAUUAAAAAUGGAUGAUUCUAUUCCUGACAUACCGUGUGAAUUUCAAGAUUUUAUCAAUCAAAUAAACGAGCAAAUGGUGUCACAGCCUGAUAUACCUUACGAACUGUUGGAUAUUGUCAGCGGAAUAAACAAUGUGAAUCAGGUAAACAAUGAGAUGGCAUUUGAGCAACACAACCCAGACACGCUGAUUGAUUCAGAUGAUCCAUUUGUAGCCAUUCGAUCAAUAGAUGAUUUUGUCGAUUUCUUUCAGCCUUUACAAAACGCUUUAAUACAACUUAAUCAACCGAGCAAUGUUCCAAACGAAUCAACUGACAGUGUCAUGCACAAUGAUGUACAAGCUGACACACAGGAGCAAACUGACAGUGUCAUGCAUAAUGAUGUACAAGCUGACACACAGGAGCAAACUGACAGUGUCAUGCACAAUGAUGUACAAGCUGACA
Molecule: long non-coding RNA, 1051 nt
Organism: Corythoichthys intestinalis (scribbled pipefish)
Lineage: Eukaryota; Metazoa; Chordata; Actinopteri; Syngnathiformes; Syngnathidae
Exons: 5
Source: RefSeq, a predicted model, not a curated record